RNAcentral lists this long non-coding RNA (1068 nucleotides) under Oreochromis niloticus (Nile tilapia). RNAcentral describes it as "lncRNA (ENSONIG00000037625.1)". The record is from RNAcentral. Lineage: Eukaryota; Metazoa; Chordata; Actinopteri; Cichliformes; Cichlidae.
UGCAAUACUGUGGGACCACUAGAACCUAGAGAGUAUUGGACAGGCAUUACUAGAGGGUAAUGGCUCCUCACAAAGAUUUUUCUCUGCUUAGCAGUGGAUAACUCUGCACCUGCUGUAGCUGCAUUAACAAAAACAUUUGUGUUCAUAACAGCUUCCACCAACUCAUUCAGUAUGACUUCACUCACUGGCUGACUAUGCUGGUGCAGAAUGUUGGUAAUAGAGUCUCUCACAAGAGGUUUGGACAGUGAGAAUAUCUGCAACAAGUCAUCAAUGAUGUUCUGUAUUGCUCUCUCUGACACAUGAAGAACACUGUACAUUUUUAAGAAGAGGGAAGACAAGUUGUUUUUUAACUGAUUUUGCAGUUCCUCAGUGUCAUGUGUGGACUCGGAAGGAUUAGAGGAAGGACUUCCAAGUUCAUAGUCAUAGUCUGAGGGACCAGCAUCCUCAUAUUCAACAGUUAGCAGUUUCUUUAAGGAUAAUUACACACUUAAAGGCUGAAAUAUCACCAUCAGGAUGACACCUACUUCUAUGGGUAUUGAAGGAGGAAUACACAUUAGUACUGUAGAGGCUAAGCCUACGCAUGAAGCCACUGAGGUGGUCGUUAACGGGGGGGUGACGCGAUGUCACUGGUAUGUAUGAAUUAAGUAAAACAGUCCAAUAACUCCAGCUGUACUUAUCUUGUCCUUUUUGUUCUUUAUUCCAAUAUCCUCUUGACAUAACAGCGCAGCGGUCACAAACUGUUUGCCUUCAUACAAUCACGACACACCUGACGCCGAUUACGUGCGUCUACCUUAAAUACCUUUACAUGAACAAAACAGAAAAAGGUGACCUCUAGUGGCCACAUAAGGUAUUAACCCCAAAACGGCUCCUACAAGUACGGUAGUGACAAUUUUUGAAAGGGCAAUCCAAUGUCUCAUGCUGUUUUAGAUGUGUCCUUAAGUGACUAAGGACAUUUUUAUCAUUGAAUGGUUGGCUACAACCACAAAGAGGGCAAAGAAAUACUGCACUUUGAUCUCUACUUUGCACAACUUUCUGAGAAUGUAUCCGCGUUAAAUGAAUUUUCAAAGC